Long non-coding RNA from Salvelinus namaycush (lake trout), 417 nucleotides. RefSeq lists it as uncharacterized. The transcript is spliced from 3 exons. The record is from RefSeq and is a predicted model, not a curated record. NCBI's taxonomy places the organism in Eukaryota, Metazoa, Chordata, Actinopteri, Salmoniformes, Salmonidae.
GUUGUAUAAUUAUUUUAACUUAAGAAAAUUGUUCCUCCCUCUUUUACAUCAGACACCCCUAUUAGCUCAACCACAGUCUUCACAGCUGCAGUCGUCUGCCCUGCACCUGCUACACCGGCCACGACAGGUGAUACAGAUCUGCCACCCCCAGCAGUUCAGCUGCAGUCACAGCAGUCCUCUGCUGUGGUAUUUAAUUUACCGGCUGCACCAGUUCCUACUACACUGGCCGUGAAGGGAGAAACGUUUUCUGGAUUCCCAGAUGGAUACAGAUCUGCCAUGCCCUCCACCACUGGCUGACAGUAUAUAAAUAAAACACAACAUUCACACACAUUAUCCACAAUGUAAAUAAGUUGUAAUUACUUGUUUAUUUUAUGUAUGCUCCAUUUUUUAUUUGAGGAUUGUGUGCAAUAAAGUACA